GAUGAACGCUGGCGGCGUGCCUAACACAUGCAAGUCGAGCGUGAAUAAGUAGAGUGGAGACUUCGGUCAAAGCGAAGCUUAUGAAAGCGGCGGACGGGUGAGUAACGCGUGGGUAACCUGCCCCAUACAAAGGGAUAGCCACUGGAAACGGUGAUUAAUACCUUAUGAGUCGGUAGUCUCGCAUGAGAUAGCCGACAAAGAUUUAUCGGUAUGGGAUGGACCCGCGUCUGAUUAGCUAGUUGGUGAGGUAACGGCUCACCAAGGCGACGAUCAGUAGCCGACCUGAGAGGGUGAUCGGCCACACUGGAACUGAGACACGGUCCAGACUCCUACGGGAGGCAGCAGUGGGGAAUAUUGCACAAUGGGCGCAAGCCUGAUGCAGCAACGCCGCGUGAGUGAAGAAGGCCUUC
This 410-nucleotide ribosomal RNA is filed under the name uncultured bacterium. RNAcentral describes it as "bacterial SSU rRNA". It matches the Rfam family "Bacterial small subunit ribosomal RNA", at positions 28 to 419 of the family's 1533-position model. The record is from RNAcentral.